Molecule: long non-coding RNA, 546 nt
Filed under: Pan troglodytes (chimpanzee)
Lineage: Eukaryota; Metazoa; Chordata; Mammalia; Primates; Hominidae
Description: lincRNA
Source: RNAcentral
CUUUCUGAGAACCGGUGCUUUAAUGAGUAAACUCACGCAGCUGCAACAAAUGCUGCCACCUCCUGGCAUCUUUUAAAAAGGCUGGAGUGCAGUGGCAUGAUCUCAGCUCACUGCAACCUCCGCCUCCCGGGUUCAAGUGAUUCUUCUGCCUCAGCCUCCCAAAUAGCUGUGAUUACAGGGAACCCGUUGUUGCUCAGACACCCGAUGUGGAAAUUUUUCUUCUCCCUCAGUUCAAAUGAGAUAAAGAUCCUCCUCUCCUCACAGUGAACAUGAGGUCACAGUGUCCAUGUAACUAACUACUGGUUAAGAGGAUAUGGGUAGAAGGCACAUGUUCAACUUCUGGCUUCUGUCCUUGAAAAGUGUGAUGAUUCCAUCCUUUGCUGUCUUCCUUCCCGCUGACUGGAAUGUGGACUUGGUAGUGAGCUACCUUGGACUAUGUGGAUGAAGACAAAGAUAAAAGGAACCAAGGACUCUGAUGAUUCUGUAGAGAAGAGGAACCGUAGCUGCUCAAAUGUUCAUGUGAAAGAAGAAUAAACUAUCAGAUUU